GGCUUUAUAGUAUAAUGAAUAUAUUAGAUUGCAAAUCUAAAGAUAUGUAAGGACAUUAAGGCUU
RNAcentral lists this transfer RNA (64 nucleotides) under Indochinamon bhumibol. RNAcentral's name for it is "tRNA-Cys". It matches the Rfam family "tRNA". From Rfam's summary of the family: Transfer RNA (tRNA) molecules are approximately 80 nucleotides in length. Their secondary structure includes four short double-helical elements and three loops (D, anti-codon, and T loops). The record is from RNAcentral. Lineage: Eukaryota; Metazoa; Arthropoda; Malacostraca; Decapoda; Potamidae.